RNAcentral lists this ribosomal RNA (496 nucleotides) under uncultured bacterium. RNAcentral describes it as "partial 16S ribosomal RNA". It matches the Rfam family "Bacterial small subunit ribosomal RNA", at positions 28 to 506 of the family's 1533-position model. The record is from RNAcentral.
GACGAACGCUGGCGGCGUGCCUAAUACAUGCAAGUUGAGCGCUGAAGGUUGGUACUUGUACCAACUGGAUGAGCAGCGAACGGGUGAGUAACGCGUGGGGAAUCUGCCUUUGAGCGGGGGACAACAUUUGGAAACGAAUGCUAAUACCGCAUAAAAACUUUAAACACAAGUUUUAAGUUUGAAAGAUGCAAUUGCAUCACUCAAAGAUGAUCCCGCGUUGUAUUAGCUAGUUGGUGAGGUAAAGGCUCACCAAGGCGAUGAUACAUAGCCGACCUGAGAGGGUGAUCAGCCACAUUGGGACUGAGACACGGCCCAAACUCCUACGGGAGGCAGCAGUAGGGAAUCUUCGGCAAUGGACGAAAGUCUGACCGAGCAACGCCGCGUGAGUGAAGAAGGUUUUCGGAUCGUAAAACUCUGUUGGUAGAGAAGAACGUUGGUGAGAGUGGAAAGCUCAUCAAGUGACGGUAACUACCCAGAAAGGGACGGCUAACUACGU